GUGAACAACGAAGGGCGCGCGGUGGAUGCCUAGGCUCUCGGAGGCGAUGAAGGACGCGAUAAGCCGCGAUAGGCCACGGCGAGGUGCAAGUAACCCUUGACCCGUGGAUUUCCGAAUGGGGCAACCCGGCCGUCUAGAUGACGGUCAUGCAGUAAUGCAAGCGAACGCGGGGAACUGAAACAUCUCAUUACCCGCAGGAGAAGAAAACAAAAUGUGAUUCCCCCAGUAGUGGCGAGCGAACGGGGAAGAGCCCAAACCGUUGCCGUUUCGGCGACAGCGGGGUCAUGGGACCGCGACAUUCGACGGAAGACGAAGUGCAAUUACCUGGAAAGGUAAGCCGUGGAGGGUGACAGCCCCGUGCACGACACCUCUUUCGAAGAUAGCGGUAUCCCGAGUAGGGCGGGACACGAGAAAUCCUGCCUGAAUUCGCCAGGACCGCCUGGCAAGGCUAAAUACUCCCGAGAGACCGAUAGUGAACCAGUACCGCGAGGGAAAGGUGAAAAGUACCCCGAGCAGGGGGGUGAAAUAGACCCUGAACCCGCGCGCCUACAAGCGGUCGGAGCCGGGUAAUCCGGUGACGGCGUGCCUUUUGCAUAAUGAGCCUACGAGUUAGUCGUCACCAGCGAGGUUAAGGGCUUCAGGCCCGUUAGCCGAAGUGAAAGCGAGCCUUAACAGGGCGUCGAGUUGGUGGCGCUAGACGCGAAACCUUGUGAUCUACCCACGAGCAGGUUGAAGUCGCGGUAACACGUGAUGGAGGACCGAACCGGUAAACGUUGAAAAGUUUUCGGAUGACUCGCGGGUAGGGGUGAAAGGCCAAUCAAACUGGGAAAUAGCUCGUACUCUCCGAAAUGCAUUUCGGUGCAGCCUGUGAUGUUCUGUUCCAGAGGUAGAGCUACUGGUUGGACGCGAGGGCUUCACCGCCUAUCAAAUCCGGAUAAACUCCGAAUGCUGGAACACGAAAUCAUGGAGUGAGCCCGCGGGUGCUAAGGUCCGCGGACGAGAGGGAAAGAACCCGGACCACCGGCUAAGGUCCCGGAUGGACAGUUAAGUUGAUCAAACGAGGUGGGAUCGCGGAGACAGCUAGGAUGUUGGCUUGGAAGCAGCCAUUCAUUUAAAGAGUGCGUAACAGCUCACUAGUCGAGCGAUCCCGCGUGGAUAAUACACGGGCAUCAAACUGUCAACCGAAGCCGUGGGGUUAGUUAAUGACUAACCGGUAGGAGAGCAUUCCUGCCAGCUUAGAAGGUCACCCGCGAGAGUGACUGGAGCGGCAUGAAAAGCAAAUGUAGGCAUAAGUAACGAUAAUGGGGGCGAGAACCCCCCACGCCGCAAGACCAAGGAUUCCCCGGCAAUGUCAAUCAGCCGGGGGUCAGCCGGCCUCUAAGGCUCACCCGAAAGGGGAUGCCGACGAGAAACGGGUUAACAUUCCCGUGCUUCUCGUCACCGUGACGCGGUGACGGGGUGAUGAAUGGACCGCGCGCUGACGGAAUAGCGCGUUGAAGGCCGUACCCUAUGACGGUGGUAGUCAAGCACGCCACCGGAGGCGAGAGCCGAUAGUACCACGAGACCCCGGUCGAGUGGAUAGCGUCCAGGCAAUUUACCCCCUAGAAAACCCGCUAAACUUCAAGUGACGAGGAACCGUACUGUAAACGGACACACGUGGUCGGGUAGAACAUACCAAGGCGCUCGAGUGAUUCAUGGUCAAGGAACUAGGCAAAAUAGUCCUGUAACUUAGGGAAAAAGGACGCUCUAGUGAUAGAGCCGCAGAGUAAUGGCCCAGGCGACUGUUUACCAAAAACACAUGGCUAUGCCAAAUCGAAAGAUGACGUAUAUGGCCUGACACCUGCCCGGUGCCGGAAGGUUAAGAGGAGAGCUCAUCGGAAACGAGAAGGUUUGAAUUGAAGCCCCGGUAAACGGCGGCCGUAACUAUAACGGUCCUAAGGUAGCGAAAUUCCUUGUCGGGUAAGUUC
RNAcentral lists this ribosomal RNA (1967 nucleotides) under human gut metagenome. RNAcentral's name for it is "bacterial LSU rRNA". It matches the Rfam family "Bacterial large subunit ribosomal RNA", at positions 1 to 1983 of the family's 2925-position model. The record is from RNAcentral.